UUUUACCUCAUCAAACCAGCAACGGUUCAGAAGAGCUUCCACAACGGAAUCCAGACUGCACAGUUUGUGAGUAAAUGAACUAAGGACCCUGAAGGAUAAAAAGUGGACCAGCUCUCACUGGCAGUAGUUGAGGAACAUAGGAGCUUCUGCAGUUAUCCCAGCUGGCAGACAUUACAAAGGCAUGGCUGUGGAAGGAGAGGCUCAAGUAUUGGACUGGCCUCCUAGAGAGAAUGUGUGGAGAAUUUUGAAAGAAAUAUGUGAUUAUGACAACUCUGUAAUGUUUUCAGGAAGAAUGGCACAAAACACUUCAUUGCUAGGUACUCAUGGUACCAAAACAUUUUUGUGUUGAGACAGAAUGGCAACAUACAAAGUGGUAAAUGCUUUACCAUCCAAACUUUUUUGGAACGUGUUGCAGCCCUGAAAUGCAGGAAUUGAUGUUUACUAACACAUGAAAUAAAGCU
Molecule: long non-coding RNA, 461 nt
Organism: Trichomycterus rosablanca
Lineage: Eukaryota; Metazoa; Chordata; Actinopteri; Siluriformes; Trichomycteridae
Exons: 3
Source: RefSeq, a predicted model, not a curated record